RNAcentral lists this ribosomal RNA (460 nucleotides) under uncultured bacterium. Its description in RNAcentral is "partial 16S ribosomal RNA". It matches the Rfam family "Bacterial small subunit ribosomal RNA", at positions 338 to 795 of the family's 1533-position model. The record is from RNAcentral.
CCUACGGGAGGCAGCAGUAGGGAAUCUUCCACAAUGGGCGAAAGCCUGAACCAGCCAAGUAGCGUGCAGGAUGACGGCCCUACGGGUUGUAAACUGCUUUUAUACGGGAAUAACGCGCCUUACGUGUAGGGCUUUGCAUGUACCGUAUGAAUAAGGACCGGCUAAUUCCGUGACAGCAGCCGCGGUAAUACGGAAGGUCCGGGCGGUAUCCGGACUGAUUGGGUUGAAAGGGAGCGUAGGGCGGAUGUCAAGCGUGCUGUGAAAUGGCCGGGGUCAACCCGGGCCUUGCAUCGGAAACUAGCGAGCUAGAGUCAGAGGAAGGCAGGCGGAAUUCGACGUGUAGCGGUGAAAUGCUUAGAUAUGACGAAGAACCCCGAAUGCGAAGGCAGCUUGCUGCAUCGGAACUGACGCUGAUGCUCGAAAGCGCGGGUAUCGAACAGGAUUAGAUACCCUUGUAGUC